RNAcentral lists this unclassified non-coding RNA (90 nucleotides) under Pseudomonas lini. The record is from RNAcentral. Lineage: Bacteria; Pseudomonadati; Pseudomonadota; Gammaproteobacteria; Pseudomonadales; Pseudomonadaceae.
UGUGGGAGCGGGCUUGCCCGCGAUGAGGGAGUGUCAGUCACCGUUUAUGUCGUCUGACACACCGCCAUCGCGGGCAAGCCCGCUCCCACA